UGGGGUUAUUCCGUGGCUCCCGUUGGAAAUCCCUGUCUGCAGACCAGAGCAACCGAUAGCGUUGCUGCCGGCAGUGCAGCGCUGGUGCAGCGUCCUGGCUCCGCGCAGCCUCUCUGGAAAGUAUUAAAAGUUGGAGGCACAUGUUUCGCAGGCCAAACGCAGGCCCUUUCCCAUAGAAGGGAAAACUCCCACUGAAGCGUGACCGCUGUGCUUGGCCGUGGCCGCUCCGCCACRACGGCCUGGUCCUCCUGCCUCCGGCCAGCUCGCGUGUGCCGGACACAGCUGGCGACCGCCGGGCUUGGCUGCUGCGGCCACGCAAGGUGGGAAGCRGCUCAGUCAGCUCAGGCAUCAUCUCUGCACCCUGAGCAGGGCGAGCGGCGCUCCGGCUGGGAGGGGAGGGAGGAGGAGGAGGGCAGCCAGCGCGGCGGCUCGAGCAUCCCCCUCGCUGCCCCCCCUGCCGCAGGAGCCGGGUUGCCCCGGGGAGCCCAGCAGCCUCUGCCCCAGCGGCUCCUCGCCCACCAUGCUGGAUAUUUUCAUCCUGAUGUUCUUCGCCAUCAUCGGCCUGGUGAUUCUCUCCUACAUCAUCUACAUGCUGUAGCGCGAUGCUGGGGAGGACGCGGCUCCGCAGCGGCCCGUCACUCCGGGCAUCGUCCAGCAGCAGCCGCCGCCUGGUCCGUCUCUCCUGGAGCCUUCUGGAAAAGCGUUAACCCGUUGGAGCCGACGUCUCUCCCAGCCGGAGACUGGGGACACCCAGGACGAGCAGCUCCGGGCGGGCGCCAGUGCCAGGCGCGAUGCGCUGGUGGCGGGGGCUGAGCCGGGGCGGCGGCGGGGUGACGGGGCCGGGAAAGCGCUGGGCAGCGACGUCCCGCGGCCGAGCUGCUCCCCAGGACGCGCAGGCUGCUCCACCGGGGACGUAGCGGGUCCUGCCCCAGCCACGUGCGYUAGCCCCUUGGGAUAAGCACUUCCGAGGUUGCGUUGUUUGGUUUUAACUUUAGAAAGCACUUAUAUUUUUAAUGCAAACUGUCCGAGGAAAGGGAAUAAAAAGAGGGAUGACACCA
RNAcentral lists this long non-coding RNA (1058 nucleotides) under Dromaius novaehollandiae (emu). RNAcentral's name for it is "lncRNA (ENSDNVG00000017046.1)". The record is from RNAcentral. Lineage: Eukaryota; Metazoa; Chordata; Aves; Casuariiformes; Dromaiidae.